Molecule: ribosomal RNA, 501 nt
Filed under: uncultured bacterium
Lineage: Bacteria
Description: bacterial SSU rRNA
Rfam family: Bacterial small subunit ribosomal RNA
Source: RNAcentral
GAUGAACGCUGGCGGCGUGCCUAAUACAUGCAAGUCGAACGAGAUGGUUUACCAUCUAGUGGCGAACGGGUGAGUAAUACAUAAGUAACCUGCCCUAGACAGGGGGAUAACUAUUGGAAACGAUAGCUAAUACCGCAUAGGCAUACCCUUCGCAUGGAGGGGAUGUUAAAGAUGCUAAGGCAUCGGUAGAGGAUGGACUUAUGGCGCAUUAGCUAGUUGGUGAGGUAAAGGCCCACCAAGGCGACGAUGCGUAGCCGACCUGAGAGGGUGACCGGCCACACUGGGACUGAGACACGGCCCAGACUCCUACGGGAGGCAGCAGUAGGGAAUUUUCGGCAAUGGGCGAAAGCCUGACCGAGCAACGCCGCGUGAAGGAAGAAGGUUUUCGGAUUGUAAACUUCUGUUAUAAAGGAAGAACGGUACCUGUAGGGAAUGACAGGUAAGUGACGGUACUUUAUGAGAAAGCCACGGCUAACUACGUGCCAGCAGCCGCGGUAACAC